GCAUUUGGUCAAUCUUGUUUGGUCUUGGAACCUAUUAAGUUAGGCCUGGUUAGUACUCGGAUGGGAGAUCAUCUGGGAAUUCCUGGACUGUAAACU
This 96-nucleotide ribosomal RNA is filed under the name Notechis scutatus (mainland tiger snake). The record is from RNAcentral. Lineage: Eukaryota; Metazoa; Chordata; Lepidosauria; Squamata; Elapidae.